CUCUACCGCGGGACCCCAGAAGUGAUGGCUGCGGUUCCACCCGUGCUUCUUGGACAGCCAGGCCCCUGCAGUGACAGCGCAGACCUUCCUCCCCUGCAAAGUGGGGGAGAUAACAGAGAGAGGCUCACGGAGUUGCCCUUUAGACUGAGUUGGGUCAUUUGUGGCCAGCGCUCCCCACGGCACCUGCCACGGCGCAUGCAUUCACACGUGUCACCCACGGAAGGCUGGAGUCGCCCACUCAGCCCUCCUGCUGCCAGCCCCGGGCCACUCCCCUGCGAGCCUGGCUCCCCCGGAGCACAUCUUCCCUCCGGUAGAUAAAUGCUGUUACCACUGCCCAAAGAUCUCCGUGGAGUCCGUUACAGGAAUCGAACUCACGAGUGUGCCAGGCAGGCACGUGUGCCGCUGAGCUGUAUCCCUGGCUGGUGCUUUGGAUUCGGGUCUUUCCCAGUCUUGCGGCCCCCUCCAGACCUGAACAGAGCAUUGAGCUGCCGGCUCUGUCAUCCAUCAAUCAACCGACUCUCUCACCAGCAGCCGUGUUGUUGCUGUGCCCAGCAAUUUCGGCGCAGGAAGCACUCUUUCAGCUUAGCAGCCUUUGCAGUGUGCUGCAGUCAAGGCACCUCGGUACUGGCAAAUUACAGAUGCUCCACAUUGUCAUGGCGUGCCCUGGGCUGGAAUUCAGGAACAUGAGAAGGCUCAGCCAGUGCAGGAGUGCACAAGUGGAGAACCCCGAUGUUACCUAGGAAUCAGGUGUCCCGGGGACCUGCCAGCACUACUUGGAUUCCCCCACAGAGUGCCUCUGCACUGGUCCCCAUGCACCCCAAAGUGAGACUGUCUUCGGUGCUUUGCAUGUGACACGCAGUUUUGGAAUGAUUGAUCCUGCACACGCCAUCCAUUACUUAGGCCUCUGCCAGGGGCAGGAGACAGGGUGCGGACCCGACAGGAGCUACUGGAUAAACAGGUUUGUUGAGUUAAAAAAAACAAAAAAAAAGAAAUCCUAGCAGAGAGAGGAGGCAGACGGGGCAGUGAAGGAUAAGGAGCAUCAUGCUUCUCCCUCAGGUGAGCGAGGCACGGCGGAGCGGGUCUGCGCUCUGCCCGAGCCCCUUCCACCACUGUUACAGACUGAAGCUUGCACCCGCCCUAAUUUUAUAUAUUGAUGUUCCAACACCCCAUGUGACUAAAUUUGGAGUUGUGGCCUUUAAGAUAUAAUUAAGAUUAAAAAUGAGCUCAAAAAGACAUUGAACGGGACUGGUGUCCUCUGAAAAGAGAAAUUGUGAUCACAGACUCGGUGCACACAGAAAAACCAUAGGAAGACACUGCAAGAAAGACACCACCAGCAAGCCAAACCGAGAGCCCUCAGAAGGCCCCGCUUGAUCCUGGACUUCCAGCCCCAGAGCUUUGAGACUGUGCAUUUCUGUGCAUUAAGCCCCUCUGGGUGUGAUGUUUUGUUAUAGCAGCACAACUUGACUAAGACAGCUUCUUCCAACUCCAGGAACAUGAGCACAAUGCAGAGCAGAAGCUGCCUGAGCAGUGUGGGCCUCCGACCAGCUGCCCAAACUAGCUCCUCAAAUUUGUAUCCGUGCUCUGCUCACGGAUAGUUCCCAAGGAAGCAGAUAGCUUAGGAGCAAGUUUGUCUUGCUUUUUUUCUUAAGGAAAAGACUUUGUGGUGUGAUGGAGGAGGUGUCAGAGGUCCCACACAUUCAGGAUCCUCAGAAGCACCAGACAGUGGACCUUGAACAAGUCACUUAAACCCUGGACCAUCCUUAACCUUCUCUGUCACAUGAACUUAAAGUCAGACCAACGUUAUGGUUUGGACAUGAAUUUUUUAUCAAGUGUACACUUCUUGAUAGCUUUAGGUACCCAGCAGCAUUUCCCUGCUUGCCAUCAGAGGCCACCACAGACUCCCUUCCUGGGCUGCCCCGGACAUGCUCUUCAGAGCCAGUGGGCUGGCACUGCCCUCUCAGUCUGAGAUACUGGGCUGGUUGCUUAUUGGCCAUAGGCUGCUAGGUCUUACCAGAGAGCACAAAGUCCACUGUUGAGGGACCAUAGUUCCAAACUCUGCACUAAGUUGCUGCUUAAAUUGCCUAGAAAAUGAGGCCUCAAGAAGCACAGGCUCAGGGGCAUGGCUGGGAAACUAAGGUGGGUUCAUUCAGGAGCAGGGCUUCCCAUGCCUUUGACCCACUGGAAUCCCCUGGAAAGCUUGCUAACUAUGGAUGUUUAAGCUCAACCUCGGUGUUUCUGCUUUGGUAGAUCUGGGAUGGGAACCUGAAAAUGGAUGAUUCUUAUGAAUCUCCAGCUGGUGUUGGACCUGUGGGUCUUGGAGCCACACCCUGAGAACCAGUGUGCUGGCUUUGGUCCACCAGGCACUCUCGAUCUCCAUGGGGAUGGCUCCAGGUCCAGGAUGGGGGGAAAGACACCUGCACGCACACACACACACAGGGAGAGAGAGAGAGAGACAGAGAGACAGAGAGAGCAAGAGAAGAAAAAUGAAGAGAAGAGGAGAGGAGAGGAGAGGAGAGGAGAAGAGAGGAGAGGAGAAAGGCAAAGGCCUGGCAGCUCUCUGUAGUCACUGAUCUCUCACAGUUCUGGAAGCCAGAAUCCAAGAUCAAAGUGCUGGCAGGCUUAAUGUCCCUUAGGGCUCAGUCUUUGCUUCCAAAAUGGCAUCUUGCUGCUGAGACUUCUGGGAGGGACAAAUACUGUCCUCAUAUGAGCAGGUCCCUUGCAUUUCUCUUACAAGAUCAUUAAUGCCAUUUGUGAGUGGGGAGCCCUUGUGACCUCAUCAUCCCCUAAAGACCCCCAUCUGGGGCUAGGUCACCUAGUGUGAACAGUGGUGGGGACACAACUGCAGAAUCAUCUAACGUGCCAGCAAGAUGGGGACACCAGAAGUCCCUUCAGCCCGGUACUCUCUGUGCCUGAGAGCCAGGAAGGGUAGCACUGACCACCGCAGAAGGGGGGACCUGCCUUCGCCCUCCAGAGGAGGCAGCAGGUCAGGACAGUGCGGUGGGAUGAGGAGAGAGACACAUGCUUGUUGGUGCCUGUGUCAGGGAUGGACAAGGAGUUGGGAACACGGAUCGCUAAGGCUUUUUAAAAAAGAGCAUGAAGUCAUAGCUUUAAAAUGAGCAAGACUGAGUUUUACAAGCUGAAAUGAAGCUUUUUCAAUGACUCCAAUACCUUGUAGUGGGGAGCCAUCAUGAUGAGACUCUGGGAGACAGUGUCCCCAGUACUGUCCUGGGGAAUGAAACCUUUUCAUAUUCACGUGCCAGACAGUGAAGACCUCAUGAAAGUCUCCUGUGCCUUCUGGCUGUCUUGCUUGGGGUCUUCGCUGUGUUGAGGUUCCCGGGAAGGAUAAUCAGCUGUGAAGCCAAUUCCUUCUCUUGCAGGCUGCAGUGUUAAUCCUCUCUCCAUGGCCUCUAAACUACCUCUGUUAGCUGUGCUGGGUUUUUCUGAGCAAGCAAUUCCACUCUUUCAUGAUCCUGUCCACUUUUUGUCUCAAAUUCCUUAGUGUUAAAAUCAAUUAUGCAGUAAAUGUAGUAUUAAAACACAAGAACUUGUGUUUUCUUAAAUGAAAUUUACAGUCUCCAUGGGAAUGAUUAUCAUCAAACGCUUAAUGACUUUAUAAAAAGCAAAUGAAACCAAAUACACACAUAGAAGCAGACACUAUUAAGUUAGCUUACAAGAGGGCUACAGCUUCAAACACAUCGAACAAGACUUUUAUUAGGUAGGAACGAUAACUAGAUGUCUUUACUCAUCAGAAAUUUUAUUGGAGUCCUGUCCUCUUUUGAGAAGGGAAAAAUAAUUGGAACUCAAGUGCAAAUGAAAAUGUAUCUUAAAAGUAACUUCUAGGAGUUCUCAGGAUGCUAGCCAGUCUCUUUUGAGUUCUUCAUCUGCAAUAAAAACUAGUGUGAGGGGCAACAGUGUAGAAAGAAGCCUGAGCUCUCGUCUCUGCCCUCUUGGGCAUGAUUGUGUGACUGUCUCUCUAGCCCACCCUACUCCAGCACCGUCCAGCACCUGGUUCCUUGAGUAUAAAGUGAGGGACUGGAGGAGGAUGACAUCUCACCAUUUAACAUCUUGAAAUUUUUAAGAUGCUGAGUGCAAGAUUAAAAAUGUUAACUUCUUGGGGAACUGACUGGUUCCAGGAAAGGGGCAUGAAGUACACUAAUCCCUGUAUGGUUGAGACACAAUAACUGAUUCCCAAGUUUAAAGGAUAGCUUUGGAUACCCAGAGGAUUAGUUUAGCUCACGGUUGUAGGAGAUUCAGUUCAUGGUCAGCUGACUCCAGGAUAAGAACAUCGGAGCAGAAGGGAGUGGGAGAGCAAGGCUGCUUGGGUCACGGUGGCCAGCAAGCAGAGUGGGGACAGUGCUGGAGAAGAGCAGGUGGGAGAGCGUGCAUGGUAUCCAAAGCCGCACCUCCAUAACCCUUCUUGGUUAAACAGCGAAACUGGUAAAUCAGAGUUAGUGACCGUACCUUCCUGUGGCCACAGCUUUGUCCCCCCCAUAGGCAGCCAUAGUCUGAACACAUUAAAUGGGAAAUUUCGGGAGCAAGCAAUUCAUAAUGUAAAAGUGUGUGUCAUUGUAUAAUCAAGGGAAUAGUGUCGUGCUGACCUACACAGCUCAGGAUGUGAAUCAUCCCUUACACUACAUCCCCAUUAGUCACUUGGUAACCAUGUUGGGCCUCAGGUGACUGUCGGUAUUGUGGUGUUUGUGUUUAAGUAAACUUUAUGUUACUUAAUAAUGCCUGAAGCAUGAAAUUAGUGGUGUCAGAGAUUUGGAUAUGCCAAAGAGAAGCUGCAAAGUGCUUCCUUUAAAUGAAAAGAUGAAAGUAACCUCUGUAGGAAGGGUGAAAAGUGGUGUCUUGAGGUUGGUAAGAUCCACAGUGGAAACAAAUCUAUCUGGGAAAUUGUGAGGAAGGACAAAGAACUUUUUGUUAGUUUUGCUGCUGUAACUCAAAAGGCACAGCUUUGGCGCAUGAUAAAGUCUUAAUUAAGAUAGAAAAGAUAUUACACUUGUGUGUGUGCAUAGCCUCCCCCCCCCCCCCACAUACAAGGCUCUGCACUGGUUACAGUAUCAGUUAUCUUCUGGAGACCCUGAAAGUCUGUCCUAAGGAUGAACGGGACCUCUGCAUACCAGAGAGCCCGGACUACAGUAAGGGCUUAAAACAACUAGCCAGACCAACACAAAACCCGUAACAAUGAGGUAUGGCAAAAGGAUCCAGAGACACUGAAAAAACCCCAAAGGCUAAAGCUGGAACAGUUUGAGCAACAAAAUAACUAAGAUAGCGUUGGAUUAUAGCCCAAGUUUUAAAAAUAUUUAUGAGUCUGUCUGUAGGAGAGGAAAAAGCAAUUUUUUACCCAUCUUAUGCUCUUUGCCUGGGACCCUGUCUGUAAACUAGACUUGCAAAGACGUAUUAACAAGACAAAAGCAAAGUGAAAUUUAUUAAUAUGUAAUGCUCAUAUGAAUAUGUGCAUAUAAAUAUUAAUAUGCACAUAUAAAUGAGGGAGGCACGAGCCAAAGGGAUCUAGGUUCCUAUUCUAUCAUCUGCUAAACAAAGGGAAAAGGCUUUGGGAUUCCAGUCAAAGGAAACAAGUUAAGGGAGUGUAACCAGGAAAAACAUGGUAAACAAGGACUGUUUAGAAGGUUUGUCACAUGGAUUGAAGUUGGGUGUUUUUGCUAUCGGUAAGACUUGUUGAAGGAGUCUUCCUUUUUGUGGCAGGAGAGGAAGAAACAUUCUACAAAUGGAUAUCAGUGCAAACUUCAUUUGCAAAAGGAAAACUUGUUCCCUGUUUUUAGGGCUUUUACUGCCAUUGCUAGUUCUGAAUGGCCUUUAGCUCAAAAUAAUCCACACACCAGAGAGGCAUAUCUGGGGUGCCCUAUUUCAAUACUCUCCCAGUCUAUACUGCUAUAAAGAAGCGACUGUAUAAGUAGAGAGGUAGGGGAGAAGAGAGAAAUCUCUGUGCAGAAUUUCCAAUAUGGGGAUAGUCCAUUCACAAAGAGAGGCAGUAUGAUUUCCCAUUUCUUAGACAUUGAUCAAACGUAGAGCAAACAAAGAUUACGGUCAUAAGGGAAGAGUAACAUGACAGGUUAGAGUCUAGCAAACCCCACCCAGCCAGAUGAUCAAGGUCAACAUGAACAGUGAGGUCAUGUCCAUAGUACACGCUCUUGCUAUGGUGUGAUGGGAAGAGGCUUCAUUUCUGUCAUCUUUCCAAAAAUUAAUAGCCCCAUUCGAAUCAUGAGCCAAACAUCAGAAACAAACCCCAACUGAGAAGCAUUCUAGAAAAUGCUAAUAGUGCUCUUCAAAAUUAUCAAAGUCACCUAAAACAAGAAAAGUCUCAGAAACUGUUACAACCAAGGGGAGUCUAAGUAGACAGGAUGAUUAAAUGAAAGAUGUAUUUUGGUUGAUCUCCUAGAACAGAAAGAGGAUAUUUGGCAACAACUAAGUAAAUCCUUGUAAACUAUGUUGAUAGAGUUAAUUGACCAAUAUUAUUAUUAUUAUUUUUUUUUUUUGGUCUUUUUCCUUUUUAUCGGUACCGAGGAUCGAACUCAUGACUGACUGCUUGCAAGGCAGGCGCUAUGUCGCUGAGCUAAAUCCCCAGCCCCAAUAUUAAUUUCUUAAUUGCAUAAAACCUUCCAUAUUAUAGUUGGAUGCUAACUGGGAAAGGUAGCUGUGAGGAUAUAUGGAAACUCUCUUGAUUGUCUUUGUAAUUUUUCUGUAAACCUGAAACUGUUCUAAAAAUUUAUUUCAAAGAAAAAUGAUAGUCCUGAAGGUAAGCAAGACUCACAGAAAUGACCCCGUGUAGUUGUACAAGAAGGCAGAGUUGAUACAGAAUAUCCAAUAAAGAGUAAAAAACCUGGUAUUUAAUUGAUUGGAAAUCACUUUCCAGGGGCUGUUAUGGCACAGGGGCUAUAAAAGAUCGGCUCAGCCUGGAUUAUCUAAAUUCUACAUGUCAUCGGCACUGGCUUUGACUGUCUCCUGGGAGGUCACCUCUGAGCCUUUGGAAUACGCUUCCUGACAAGAGCGUCUUUGCAUGGUUGGGGUCCAGGGACACAGUGGAGAGUCUGUGCUGGCCAUGUGAUUUAUGGAGAAUGGCUGGGCCACACUACUGGUUUGAACAGUGUGGGAGGGGCUGCCGGAGAUUGAGCUGAUAAGGCGCCUUGUGUGAGUAUUCCAUGGUCCCAUGAAACUCCAGCUAACACAUUCUCACUGGUUUGCACACACACUCGUGGUACAUGCAUAACUAUCCCAUUGGGAAGCUUGUACCAGCCGAUGGGCUGUCUCAUGCUGUUCAAUGAGACAGUCAAACAUGUACCACUAGUGUUUCAAAUGACUGGGGACAUAAGACAUUCAAAUCAGAGCUGCCAGGCAGUGAAACAUGAAUUAUAGCCCUGUUGUGAACGUGUUAAGUGGUUGGCCACCUGUCUUAAGUGUACUUCCCUGUUGACAAUACAGCAUUGAAUGGUUACUCUUGAUUGAUUAGCCAAUAUCCAUAGUUUAGAGAAAGAGAGCUUUGAUUUGGCUCACAUUCUCAGGGGGUUCAGUCUGUGGUUGGCUCCAAGGCAGAAACAUCACAGUAGAAGAGCAUGACAGAAAAAAAGACUUGUACCAAAAUCAUACCUCCAUGACCAACAUAGACACCGGGAGGAAUAUGCCAGGAAUACCUGUGCAGCUCCCAAGCCAAUUAAGUUGAUACAGUGAAGCUUGACCAUCAGAAUCCGUUUGCCAUGGAGGCAUCUGCUCCCUCACCUCUUCCUCUUGGGCUCUCCCCUGCUCUCUGCUUCCUGGGUGCCGUGAACUGAGCAGCUUUCUUCUCCCACACCCUUCCAACAUGAUGUUUCUGCCUUGGAGCCAGCUGCGGACCAAACCCUCUCAACUGGGGGCCACAGAAACGCUUCCUCCCUCAAGCUGUGCAUGUUAUUAGUCUGAACAGUGGAAAGCUGACCAUUACACUUCACAAGUUUGUCCUGGUUCAAUUGCUGGGAGGAUUAUGUGCUAUUCAUUCGAAAACAAUGGAGUUUACAUCUGAUUUUCGUGGAUGCCAUCCUCUGCUUCAUCUUCCUUUUCUGGUUUUAAUUUGUAUCUUUUUGCCAUGAAAUAAACUGCAACCAUGGGUAGAACAGCUUUUCUGAAUUGUAACAAAUCAUCAAACCUGAGGGUGGUCAUGGCGGGUCCUCUCACAGAGACUGGAGCCUCCAAACUCCCACAUUUCAGCAGCUCUAAAGGACGAACAGGCUGUGUCCAACCAGGGCCUCCCUGCCCCGUGAUUGUUUGAGAAUAUAAAUUACAUAACCAAUUAGCCAAUUUAUCCAUUUCCCUCCACUAUUCCCUAAUCAAUACCUCCAAACUUAGAAAAGCACAUAUUCAAUUCCCUCUCCCUCCCAGCUCCUGACAGUCAUCAUAAUUCGGAGGUAAUUUGGUCCAGUUAUAAAAGACACACACAAAAGAAUUCAAUCAUUUUUCUGCCUGAUAAAUCUCUGCUCUCCCUGAGGACAUGACUGCUACUCGCUGUCCUUCUGAUAGUCCCAGUGUGUGGCUCUUUGCUCAGUCAGAUGUUAAGGGCUUGAGAGGAAGGAAGAGGGAGGAUGGACGGAAGGUGGAAAUUCUGGAAAAGAGAGAGAAGCCACAGGGAAGAAGGGCGAGGAGCUGAGCUAGGGCCCACUGUUGCUGGCGAGGCCUUUGUUGGAAGGAGAUGUUUGCGUUAGUGUCUCAGGUCUGUCUCAGGAAGCCAACAGCUUCCGUUAAGGAAGCCCCCGACAGAGCUGGGAAGUCUGGGGCCUUCAAGGAGGAUUGUUUGAGCCCCUUUUCUCCCUGUUUACCACUCUGCACCCCGCUGCCCCAGGCUGGGCCCUUCUCAGUUAGCUGGAGGACUUGGCAGUGACAGAAUUGGCCUGAUGUAGCCCAGGCUACCAGUUCCUGCAAAGAGGUCCAGACCCUGCUCCUAAAAGCAAGGUGGAGUUUCCUGUUGAAGUGACAAACCCAAGUAGGGGCCCUGAGGGUCAUCUUUCCAGGUCCUUGGUGUGCCAAAGAACUGGACACAGAAGAGGCAGAAAGGGUGCACAUUUAUUGAAAGUAGAAGAGAAAUUCAUUCUGCAGGGUGAGAGCCGGUGGCAAAAAGGCUCACAGUAGCCCUGAGGUUAAAGCUUAAGGGGUCUUUGGUAUCCAAAAGACUUGGAUUGACCUCCGCUUCAUGUAAAAAAGGUACAAGGCCAUUUGUCCUAUCAAACACUCACAAGGUCUCAUGCCAGAUUUAAACUGUCCUACUGAGAAACUCACUUCUCAGAUGUAAAGAAGGAUCAGAAACAGUGUCUUUUGAUUGGUUGUGCUCACACAUAAAUAAAAGAUAGAAAAGCUCACUUUUCUGAUUGGUCCACAGGGGCUCAGGAUCCCUAAGUCUGAUGCCCUUUAGCCAUGUUCUGUGCAUGUUCUCUUCUGUGCAUGUUCUCUUCUUGGAGACGUCUUGCUCAACUUGCUAGCUGUGGGUUUUUAAUGACCUUUGAUCCUUCCUAGCCAGUAGGGGUCUGGUCUGACCCAACCCAAGUCACCAUCCUCAUGGAGGCUUCCAUGUGUUCUGGAGAUGAAAAUGUAAUGCCCCAGGAGGGAGCUAAGUUUUUCUUAUCAGCUGUUCCUGAGGCUGAGCCUGGUCAGCCUGAAUGCCUUGGUCAGCCUCCUCUCUGGUUUGGACUGAAGCCAUGAGCAAAUUCCUGUCCUCCUGUCAGUGUUGGACAUUGUGUCUCAGUGACGAGAAAGCUGACUCUGCACAUGGAGAGAACACUGCAACUGCUCCUGCGGCUGAAGCUUCUGUGGGAAGUUAGAUUUCUGAUUCUAGUUUCUUCUUCGGAAGCGAAGAGGAAAGUCUCCAGCUGGGUUUAAACACAUUAAUUCCCAAAUUGAGUUUGGAUCUCCUGCUAUUUAAAAAUCCUAUUUGGUAAGCACUUCACAGAGCAACAGCUCUGAAGCAGAAAGAUUACCUUCCCAUUAGUCUGGCCCACUAGUUUGCAUUGUUGUUCAAAAGGCGUCAAAGGGAAUUUAAGAGGAAUGGAGGUUUCAAAGGCAGGGAGAACCAGCCUUCUAAAGCCUGGGAGCCCCCAUUGCUAGGGAAGUGAGGACCUGUUGCCGGUUUCUGGCCGAUGAGGCUUUCUAAACCUUGUAAGCACCUGAAUUGAGAUCCUGGUUGUGUUCAGGCUGCUUCGUUUGGCUUUUUUGUAGGGGCCUCUGCCUCCAAGCCAGCACCAGCAUCUGCUCCCCUCACUUCUUGGACCCUGUGAGAAUCUGUAGAUGACCCAGCUCUGCCUGAAACUGACCCACAGCUGCCUCCUCUGGAGAAGGGCCCCAGGCUGUGCCUUGGAUGCCACCAGGUCCAGUUUGUUCCUGUUCUGCUUGUACAAGACAUGUAGAAGGACAAGAGCUUUUGAUAGUGGGAAGGUUGAGGGCGGCAGGAAAGAGUGCUCAGACACCCUAGCAACAAGUUUUAAUAUUCCAUCUUUUGAAAAAUUGAGAUUUUCUUUUAACACUGACACAGAGAAAAUAAACUAUGGCAUGUUUCAUAA
This is a long non-coding RNA of Cavia porcellus (domestic guinea pig), 10535 nucleotides long. RefSeq lists it as uncharacterized. NCBI's taxonomy places the organism in Eukaryota, Metazoa, Chordata, Mammalia, Rodentia, Caviidae. The transcript has 2 exons. The record is from RefSeq and is a predicted model, not a curated record.